This 74-nucleotide transfer RNA is filed under the name bacterium. RNAcentral's name for it is "tRNA-His". It matches the Rfam family "tRNA". From Rfam's summary of the family: Transfer RNA (tRNA) molecules are approximately 80 nucleotides in length. The record is from RNAcentral.
GGUGAUUGUAGCUCAUCAGUAGAGCGCCCGCCUGUGGAGCGGGAGGCAGCGGGGGCGGCACCCGUCAGUCACCC